Molecule: long non-coding RNA, 1932 nt
Organism: Chroicocephalus ridibundus (black-headed gull)
Lineage: Eukaryota; Metazoa; Chordata; Aves; Charadriiformes; Laridae
Exons: 2
Source: RefSeq, a predicted model, not a curated record
CCGGGGCGGCGGCGGCGGCGGCGGGGGCCCGGGGGCGCGUUGCCCGCCCCCCCCCGGCGGCGGAGCGCGGCGCAGCCCGGCGGCCACCUCGGGAGCGGGGGGUGGGGGGGGGGGAGGAGGGGGUAUUUUGGGGAGUUGCGGGAGGAUGGUGUCUGUGCCCUGCGGUGCUGUCAGCCGUGACGGAUCCCAGGCGCGGCCGCUACUGUACGGCAGAUUGAGUUUCUCAGCAGAAAACUCUCUCCCCUCCCUCCCCAGCGUCUUCAAAAACCUUCUCCAGAUACUGCGGGUCACUUCGGCUCAAACGGGGAGAGAAAGGGGGGCGAAAAAAAAAGAGGCUUUCCCGCUCCCCCCCUUCCCUCUGCCUUCCUCCCGCCGGAUCUCUCCGGGGUGGGGGGGCACAGUCGGGCCCUUCCCCACUCGGGGGGGGGCUGGGUCGGGCCUCCCCUCUCGCCCCCGUCCCGCUGCGAGCACGCCGCCGAGCAGGGAGCCUGGUCCAGGCCUGCAAGUGGAUCGAAGGAGCCCUGCGCCGACGGAUUUACUCUACAGCAAAACUCCCGUCCAGGAGGAUUCUGCAGCCCCAAGGGCUGCGGGGUCAGGCCCGGGAGCUGAGGAGAGGACGUGAAUAAUUUCCUUCAUAGCUGGUUCAGAAAAAGCCAGCUGCUUUCUCCAGCCGUGCCAAAACUAAGAGGAGAUGGUCUGAGGUUAAGAAACACGUGGGAUAAUUUUCAUACCAAAUGUGAAAAACGAGAAAUUGCUUUAACAUAUAGGAGCUCGCCAUAAAAAUGCGAUACGUGUUCCCUUCCAGCUUUAAAAGGAGACUUUAUAAACUCUACCGUCUUUGAUUUGUUAAGGCAACUUCAUGUUUCUUUUUUUAAUUCAUAAGUUUGUGAGAAAACAUAAUGAAACCCUUGAUGUUUUUAUGAUGUCGAUUAGCGCUUCAUUGUAUAAGUAUUUGGUUAUUGAAACAUGCACUAAAUAUUGCGCUGUAAAGUCUGUUGCGACUUAUUAAUAUGUUUUGGAAUUAAUAGAAAAAAUGACAAGAUUGCAAAAAUGGUAUUAAUUUUUAUUUCGUUUCAUUUAAUAAAAAACUCACUUGCCUGCACAGUCCUUUGCUUUAUUUUCUCACUUAUCGUGUAUAUAUUUGAAGAAAAAUGUCUGUUGCAUAUCAUCUACCUAACACUAAAAACUGAUGCUGUUAUUAAUAAGUUACUGAGAAAAAUAAACCAGUUUGCACUUUGAUUUCUAUCACUCCUGGUGAGUGAUUCUUCUGGAAUAAACAUAGCUCUAACACAUGUAAACAACACAGGAAAUUAAUAACUAAAUUCUUUGGAUUUAUUUCAGACGCCGCAUACUUUAUGUAAAUAUAUGUGGCUUUCAAUUUCAACGAUUUUCCAGUAAGUAAUAAACUUUGCUCAUUAACCUCCUCUUAAAGUAAACAUUUAUUACUUUAUAAGUGUUAUUUCAACUAAAUCAAGUGGAUGUUCUUGGUAAAUUAAUGCAACAGAUCUGUUGAACCAGAGAGGCGGGAUGGCUUCUUUGGAGUUGGGAAAGCUCGGAGUUUCUACUUAAACUUCAAGGGAAUGAGAUGCAGUACAGUAUGUUGGUUUUAAUGUGAAAAAUGUUGAUAAUAUCUCUUUUUAAAUUAAUCUACCUUUCCCUUAUAAGCUCAGUGGUAAAACACGGGAAAAAAAAUCCCAUAAAAACUUUUUAAAGUUACAUAUAUCUGCUGUGUGAACCUUGAGUUAGCAGUUUUUCACACAACUGGCUUGGCUUUUUUUCACUACCAGCCGUGAUUAGUCAAUGUUUUCCUGGAGUGAUCUUGGGGUAUCUUUUCUGAAACAGAGUUCUUUUAAGUGUACAAUUUUAAGCAUAUAAAGACAAAAAUAUUUCGCAUUUUCUGUACCAACAGGAAAAAAUAUAUAUUAAGAAACA